Non-coding RNA from Parcubacteria group bacterium, 73 nucleotides. The record is from Rfam.
GGGCCAGUAGUUCAGCGGCUAGAACGCUUCAUUUGCAAUGAAGAGGUCGUGGGUUCGAUUCCCACCUGGUCCA